AGUACCCCCUGACUAUCAUAGUCCAUAAUGACCCUUGCCCUUUCUGUCUGGGUUUUAUUUUCUCAGUUGGAUGAGCAGCAGAUUUUAGAACUCAUUUUUCUUGUCCAAUCCAACACUGGCCACAUAUUUUGUUUUUGUAUUCUUAGGUGGUUGAUGUCUUUUCUGUUCUGGUUGAGAAAUAAAGGGUUUGUGGACCUUGAGAGAAAACAUACAUUCAUGGCAAAAGGAGCAGCUAUGGGAUGAGGCUUGGCCAAUCCACAUCCAUGUCUUCAUCUCCCAUUGUGCCUGAAGCUGUGAUGUCAUCAUCUUCGUCACCUAGGAGGAGAUAGAGCUGAGGCACAGGAUUCCAUGUCCUCAGACCUCGAUGGAGGAAGCUGCACAUGAGGCCAGUUUAUCCCCAAAUGGUGUUCCUUGGCUCUAUGCCCUGUUUUAUAUGCUCUUUAUCUUUUUUCUCUUUGUCAUGUUUUCUCCCUUUUUACUUGAGAUAGACCAACAUGUAAAGAAAUGUAAGUGCCACAGUGGGCUCUAGGGCACAGGAAAAUUAUAGUAAGAGAAUGUGUGUAUGGAGAGAGGAGAAGUUAUAUAUUAUAAUGUGGGGAACAUGAGGGAAAAUAUUUACUCUUCUCUAAUCUCCAAGGCCUCAAUGACCCUGGGCUAAAGAUCUUAGAAUUACAAUCUUCUAUGUGAUAGAAAUACUUGCAGAACAUGGGUCAGGACCAGGCUAAGCAGUCCACCAGGAAUGUGAAAGAUGAGGAAGUAUCUGGGGCCAUGCUUGAGCUUACAUAAUGCCCAGGUUUAAGGAUACAAGGAACCCUGUGGAACUGGGAAUAUAUGAAGGAAUUUCCAGAUGAUGUUGUCUGACCCAGCAUGCUUUGUCUUAGUCUUGCUCAAAUGCAGGUUUACUCUGCACAAUAUUGUCCAUAAGGAUAAAGAAAAUGAUGACAUGAAGAUAGACCACCUAGGAAGACCAGGCUGUCCCCUGGAGUCACCAAGGACAGAAGUUCUUGGAGGGAAGGAAGAUGAGAUGAGAGGAGAUCCCCCACUGUUUGUGAGGAUAGCAAAACAGCCCAGGGAUUCCGAGACUGAGAUCUAUUCCCCUGGACCAUCCGUUUGAUGAGAGAGGCUAAGGUUGUAAGGAGUCCUGUGACAUCAUAUCCCAGAUGGGAGAGGUCUUCAGAGACCCUCAUUGCCUGUGUUUAUACUGGGGAAAAAAGAUAAUAAAU
Dama dama (fallow deer) is the source of this 1223-nucleotide long non-coding RNA. RefSeq lists it as uncharacterized. The record is from RefSeq and is a predicted model, not a curated record. Lineage: Eukaryota; Metazoa; Chordata; Mammalia; Artiodactyla; Cervidae. The transcript is spliced from 3 exons.